GGCUUUGUAGCUCAACGGUUUUAGAGCAGCUGUCUAGUAAACAGCCGACCAGGGUUCGACUCCCUGCUUAGCCU
RNAcentral lists this transfer RNA (74 nucleotides) under Mycobacterium phage Wildcat. It matches the Rfam family "tRNA". From Rfam's summary of the family: Transfer RNA (tRNA) molecules are approximately 80 nucleotides in length. Their secondary structure includes four short double-helical elements and three loops (D, anti-codon, and T loops). Lineage: Duplodnaviria; Heunggongvirae; Uroviricota; Caudoviricetes; Vilmaviridae. The record is from Rfam by way of RNAcentral.